Molecule: ribosomal RNA, 397 nt
Filed under: uncultured bacterium
Lineage: Bacteria
Description: partial 16S ribosomal RNA
Rfam family: Bacterial small subunit ribosomal RNA
Source: RNAcentral
CUACGUAGGUGACAAGCGUUAUCCGGAUUUACUGGGCGUAAAGGGCGUGUAGGCGGUCUUGCAAGUCAGAAGUGAAAUUCCUGAGCUCAACUCGGGCGCUGCUUCUGAAACUGCAGGACUUGAGUGCUGGAGGGGAUAGCGGAAUUCCUAGUGGAGCGGUAAAAUGCGCAGAUAUUAGGAAGAACACCGGUGGCGAAGGCGGCUAUCUGGACAGUAACUGACGCUGAGGCGCGAAAGCGUGGGGAGCAAACAGGAUUAGAUACCCGGGUAGUCCACGCCGUAAACGAUGAAUACUAGGUGUAUGGGGUAUCGACUCCCUCUGUGCCGCAGUUAACACAAUAAGUAUUCCGCCUGGGGAGUACGGCCGCAAGGUUGAAACUCAAAUGAAUUGACGGGG